This is a non-coding RNA of Acanthosepion pharaonis, 94 nucleotides long. NCBI's taxonomy places the organism in Eukaryota, Metazoa, Mollusca, Cephalopoda, Sepiida, Sepiidae. The record is from the annotation of a GenBank genome assembly.
CAGCACCGAAUCCCAUAUGAUCACCAAAGUUAAGCAAUGUUUUGUAUGGUCACUACUUAGAUGGGUGACCACUGGGAAUACUCGGUGCUGUAAG